Molecule: long non-coding RNA, 5715 nt
Organism: Bombus pyrosoma
Lineage: Eukaryota; Metazoa; Arthropoda; Insecta; Hymenoptera; Apidae
Exons: 2
Source: RefSeq, a predicted model, not a curated record
CCACGAUUCGUCGUCGUUCUUCACUAAUCCAUUACGUGGCUACGUAGUAAAAAAGAACAAUAACUCAACUUAAGUAAACUAUAGGAAAGUGUCCGAAAGCCGUUCAUUCGUUUCACUAUGUGGAUCAUACUUAUAUCGACUUUAUAGCAGUAAUUCAAACAUAAUUUACUAAAUGGUGGUGUCUUUUCUAAAUAUAUCUACCAAUUAAAAAUAGUUAUAUAAAUAAAAGAAUAAAUAGAGAAAUUUUAAAUAAAGGAAGAAAUUGAUAAACCUGUAAAAGUCUGUAUCACGUCAGCUAACAAUAAUAAGAAAAUAUUACGAAAGUGAAUAGAAAAUACGACAUGGCAGAUUUCUCAUAAGGUAACAAAACAAAGGAGAGAAAAGUAAUAUAAAAUGAAAUACGAAGUGUGAAAUAAAACUUAAUUGUAAACUGAUUUAUCGCUAAGUUAGUUAGUUCACUUCCCUUUGACGUAAAUUCCAAGUGAAAGUUGUUAGAACGGCUGAACUAAAGAUUGUAUGCAAAGCAUUUUCGUAGACAAUUGCUCUUCUCCGUGAGACUUCUCUGUUAUUUAUGUUUUGAUCAAGCAUCGAUUAAUGUACCCACGACGUAACAUGGUUUACACACGUUCAUGUGUUUCCUAAUUACGCUGCUGGUCAAACUCUGUAAUUCUACAACUGCAUCCUUUGAUGAAAGAAUGUGAUGACGAUAAUAACACCAAUUAUACUACAUUGAAACAACCAGGAAGGGAGUAUAUGAAAAAUUAAGUCGAAGAUAGAACAAAAUCUUUUUAAUGAUGAAAAUAAGCAUUUAGUUCUUAACUCUUCUAUAAAAUUUAGCUUCUAUAAGAUUACUGGUGAAGAAUCUAUAACGAUCGAAACAAUUUCGCUAAUUAGAAAAUUCGUUAUAUCAUUAGACACAACUAUGGCUCCUGCACACUCACACAACAUGCAUUUUUAUAGCCUUUAAAUAAUGCACUCGCUCUCUAACGCUGGUACUCGAUUCCUCUUAACAGGUUUGACUAGGCAUCGUGCUGAGCGAGCAGUUGCGCGAUUUCGAGGUCGAUCGAAUACUCCGUAUUAUACAGCUUGCUUUCACUUUCACGAUCGCUUACACCGUAGAUGGUUUUACAUGACAACACGGAAUAUGCAACGAUAUUAUGCCCUUUUAACACAAACGUUGAAGAUAAUUUUCUAAUGCCAUUUUCUUCAUCUGUUGUCACUUUCUAUACUACUUUUGUCAUUUCAACAACAGUUUUCAGUUCACAAAAUGUAGCAUGUACUCUACAGGUGAUUUUCAGUAAAAAAGAAAAUCACGUAUACUAUACACUUUUCUUAUAUAGCAAAAGCUUAUCCAUGUAGGAUGUAAGAUCCAUGUAGCUCGAUUAAUCAAGUAGAUUUUACACGGCUGACAACUUUCAUUAUUUCUCUAUUUAUACAAAUUCGCAAAUUUCAUUGGAACCGAAAAUUUUGAUUGGUUCUCUGUACAAGUCAAUGGAUAAAAUAUAAAGUAAAUUACUAAAGUUAAAAAAUGAAGGUCCUAAUCAACAACUAUCGAAUAUUAUCGCUGUUUAUUUCUAUAUUAGGAUAUCCCAGAACAUGGAUACUGAUGUAUUUUUUUUAUAUUUACACAAUCCAAAUAUGUCCACAGAUAUAUGUAAACAGCUGCUAUUUGCAGCUGCAAACUUGAACGAAAAUAUCACUUUAUACUUCUUAAGACUGCAAGCCCUUAAGGUAAGGUGUUCGUUACUAAAUUGAAAAAUACAAAAGAAAAGGAACGCGUUAACACGAUUAAUAUCAUCGACUUCUUAGUCUGCUCAGUGUGCCAUAUAAUUCUUACUACGAAAGAAAACGAAGAAUCAUAAUAACUGUAAGCCUGGUUUCACACACCAGAUAUACGUAUCGUUAUACAUACAUAUGAAUAUACAUGUACACCGAUGGAAACGUUCACACGACGAUUCUCCUGAGAUGCAAUAUCGCGAUACUCAUUUCGUGUAUCUUGACAACGAUACUUUCCGUACGAGGGCGGCAGACAAAACAUCGCUAUACAUGAUAUAUCACGAUACACGUAUCUCUCUGUGAAACCGGCCUAAAAGCAAUUUGAGCAAAUUUGUGGCAACUUUUUGAAGAGUAACGAAAAGUACGAUGAUCUCAUUCGUGAUACCGCGCGAUCAUUGUGUUAUCAAACAAUUAUCAUUUAUUGAUUAUUUCAACGAGAUACAGGUGUACGUAUCACCUAUUGCUCUCUAUAGUCCUUUGACAACAAUUGUCCAUUCUACUCAGGCGCAGUCAGCUGAAAACAACAAGGCUGUAGAAGAGUAGAAACUACUGCUAAUUUCUGUAAGCGGUCCGUGCAGGAAUAAAGUGCAACCUAAAAUUCGAUUUCGAUAUUUGCAUCGUACAAAUCGUAUAGUGAUAAACAAAUUUCAAAGUAAACAAAUACAAAUAGAUUCAAAUAAUAAUCAACUGAAUCGCAGAUUUAACCUAAUUUUCUAUAAAUUGCGGUUCAACUGAAUUUUGUAUCGUGUAAAAAAGACUUAUACACUGUCACUCGACCAUCAAAUCCGCAUACAAUAAACUACUUAAUGAAAAGACAAAAUCUAGAAACGAUAGAUACACACAGAAAAUAUAAGGAAAUUAUAUUAUGGUGAAGUGGAAGGUCGGUAAUUCUAAUAUCGUUUUAAAGGUAGCACUUAAUUUCCGGUGCUUCGAGCCGCUCUAUAAAGAUAUUAGAAUGACAAAGAGCCACCGUGUUACCGGUUCUUCGAGCAAAGCGAUCCCCACGAGCGAAUCGUGCAUCCGCUGUCACCAAGUGGAAAGACAUUAUUAGCGUAAAAAGGAACAGGAUGAUGAAGGAUUCUUGCGCAACGUAAGAUACAGGUGUAUCGAUAUACACACAGAGCCAGCUAAGCAUUCUACGAACGAUCGAAUUGUUGAACGAGAAAAAAAGAAAGCCACCGACCUUUAUACCGCUUCGAGCAGCAUUUGAAACGUUCCACAGUAAAUUAUUAAAUUACAAGUGUCGCCUCGAUUGGCAAAAUUCUGAAGGCUACUUGACGAAAAUAAUAAAUUUGAAAUAAUAAUAAUAAUAAUAAUAAUAAUAGUAAUGGCGAUUGGUGAUGAUGAUGAUGAUGAUGAUGAUGAUGAUGAUGAUGAUGAUAAUAAUAAUAACAACGACGACGACGACAAUAAUAAUACAACAAAAUAAAGGUCAGGAACGAAAAAGUUGUUUUAUUCGCAAAAAACUUCGGAAGAAUUUUCUCGUUCCAACAUUUCGAACGAUCGAGUCAGUUAACACGAUUUACCCACGACUCAUUAUCGAUUACAAUUGAUAUUGUUUCUCGGUCCAGCCACGCGUCCACGCAGCCAAGGUUAUGAUAGUUCCCAAUCUAUUUUACCUCUAAUUUACCAAUUGCAUUUUGCAAACUACACUUUACUUUCGAGCAAGUGGUCGUUUAAAAAAAUAUGAUCGACGUAACAUAUAUAGGAUUAACUAUCGAUUCAACGACAAAAUAUUGAAUAACAUACAGAAAAAUAUUUCAAAAUUCUAAUUAAUAUAAUUGGGAAUAAAACAAGUACCUCGACUUUAGGACGGUAGGUCCAAACAAUCGCCUGCCUUCAGGCAAGGGACCGAUAAGGUCCAACAGCGGUGAGAGCUGUGAUUGGUUGAAACAAUAUGUGGCUAUCGCCCGCCAUUCUGGGACAAAAUUUAUCAAUGUACCUCUUUUGUCAUUUUUAUCUUUUUACCUAGAACUGGUAUUGUACAAUGAGAGGAAAAUAUAGAUGAAGUGAAAUACAUACGUAGAUUAAACCGUUUCGUCUAUGUACAUGUACGUAAUAAGAUAGUAAUAAAAAAACGACAAUAAGAAAUAAUAUACGCGUGCAUGUAUUAGAAUCAGUUACAUAUACGAUACACGUAUUAAGUAUAUUUUCGUUCUAGCGGAAAGAGAAAUAUAUUGAAAGAAAAUAGUUCCCAGAAUGACAGACUAUACCCAAUCUUUCGAACUUUCCACAGAACGUCUUUAUUCGGAACAAGUUGAUAAUGUGACACUCAAUAAAUAACAGAACUUCUACAUGUCCAAUUCUGUCGUCAGAUUGUCCUGCCGAAUCUCACAAUCAAAACGAAAUGAAAGAAACAAUGUCUGGCCGUAGUUGAACAGCCUCGAGAGACGAGAAGCGAUUUUCGAGGCUGGGAGUGUUUCCGCAGCACUGAAUUCUAUCGGCCUGUUAAAAGUAGACACGGUAGAUCACCUCUGAUUCCGAUGAAACGACAGCAGAGCGGAAAGACACGAUUCGGAAAGACAACCCCUGAAAAUGAAGUAUAUUCAUAACGAUGCGUAGUUGUUUUAGGUACGUACACGUGUUGUACGGCGCGGUAUGCUGUUUCAUAAUUUUUCUCGAAGUAAUGAUAGAAGUCGAGAGAAAGAAUAGACAAACAGGGUGCCUACUGAGGUGAUGAACCUUUAGGAAGUGAAAAAAGUGAUUUAGACGAAUUCGUAUUUUCACAGUCAAACCAACUGAAUUACAAUUAACUUUGUACAAUAAUUCAUAAUCUCUAUUAUCGUCAACAUACAGUAAGGAGAAAAUAUCUCCCCCAUGGCUUUAGUUUGCAGCCUCCUCUUGCACCGUCUUCGCCACACUUUCGUAAUACGUUUACGUGCCCGAUUUCCGUUUCUCUGAAAGCAUGAAACGUAUAAAAAGUUCAAGCUGUGGCGAUUAAAAUCUUCGUAAAUAAAGAUCCAAUCACCGCCAACCUACGAUACUAUCUAAUUCCACAAAUAACAUAUUUUUCCUUUUUCUCGUCUCAUAAUUUAUCGCAAGUUAUCGUUAUUAAGAUUGUAAUAUACUAACUUAAAUAUAUCUACAAUGGUUUUGCAUAAAGAUGGUUUCGUUUUCCUAUCAAUAGACACCCUGAAGAAAUAAUAAAAUGAUAAAAGAGAAAAUAAAGAAAUAAUAAUAAUAAUAAUAAUAAUGUGGAAGAGACAAAGAGAGAAAAUAGGAAUUUUUCCGAUUAAUCGAGUCUUAUCCGAUCGUAGAGAGUUUGUUGUUUAGAACGAAACUCAACACUAAUACAUUUGAUUACUAAUAUAUAUACCUGCUGAAUCACUGAAAUCACUGUUUCUAUACACAUAUGUAUAAAUAACAAUGUCGAAACAACUAUAAAUACUCGACGAUCGGAACAUCGGUAAUUUGGCCUAGGGUAAAGUAAAAAAAAAACCAGUAUGAGUCGAGUGUAGAGGGAGCUGAUAUCGGUUUCCCUGAGCACCCUCUGUACUUACCACUCACUCAUGUGUUGCCAACACGUUCCUUGCAAAGGAAGAGGGCUUCACAGAUCGAAUCGAUCACUUCUACUUCUUGUCGGGACCAACAAAUUACAAUCAUAAUUUAAACAUUAUCAUAAUUUAAAUUGCACAAACUUCGAGAGAUAAUCAUCCCGUAAUAUUACUUGCUAACUACAAGUUACGUCAUGAACAUGUUAACCAGUCACUUAUAAUUCUAUUCUGAAUGAAACCAAAACGACAGAAGCAAAUAUUUUACAUCUGAAUAACGAUCAACUUUUUAUCAUUUCGUUUUCUUCUCAACAUGCAAACGUCACAAUGUAAUAAUAUCUCAUUACGGUUUCUUCGAUCAUAUCUCGUAAUUCAAUUCAUAUAAUCAAUUUCGGAUUGCUAUAACGGAACAAUUUAAAAGUAAUGUCAUUAAAUCGUCGAACUUUAU